GACGAACGCUGGCGGCGCGCUUAACACAUGCAAGUCGAACGGAAAGGCCUGCUUUCCCUUGUGGAUUGCGGGUACUCGAGUGGCGAACGGGUGAGUAACACGUGAGUGAUCUGCCCCCAACUUGGGUAUAAGCCUGGGAAACUGGGUCUAAUUCCCGAUAGGACUGCAGGGUGGUGCCUGUGGUGGAAAACGAUUUUCUAGUGGUUGGGGAUGAGCUCGCGGCCUAUCAGCUUGUUGGUGGGGUAAUGGCCUACCAAGGCGGCGACGGGUAGCCGGCCUGAGAGGGUGGACGGCCACAUUGGGACUGAGAUACGGCCCAGACUCCUACGGGAGGCAGCAGUGGGGAAUAUUGCACAAUGGGCGGAAGCCUGAUGCAGCGACGCCGCGUGGGGGAUGACGGCCUUCGGGUUGUAUACUCCUUUCGACCGCGAGGAAGCCACCUGGUUGGAAGGGUGGUGACGGUAGUGGUAGAAGAAGCACCGGCUAACUACGUG
RNAcentral lists this ribosomal RNA (494 nucleotides) under uncultured bacterium. RNAcentral describes it as "partial 16S ribosomal RNA". It matches the Rfam family "Bacterial small subunit ribosomal RNA", at positions 28 to 507 of the family's 1533-position model. The record is from RNAcentral.